Molecule: long non-coding RNA, 547 nt
Filed under: Panax ginseng (ginseng)
Lineage: Eukaryota; Viridiplantae; Streptophyta; Magnoliopsida; Apiales; Araliaceae
Description: long non-coding RNA (PGIN_LNC001959)
Source: RNAcentral
GCACAACGCUAAGAUGGACCGCCACAACGCUAGACCAAGCCUAACGCACAAUAGAGCAAGCGCCACAGCGAUAUAAUCAAGCGUCUCAACGCUAACUAGAAUUGAGCGCUGUAUAUUUGACCCAAAAAAUAAAACGCACAACAACGCUUGAUUUGGGGCUUCAUUUAAAAAUUCCUUUCCUUCUCAAACUCAAGCCCCAAUCAAGAGUAAUUCUCCAAUCCCCAUGUUCGAGGAAUAUGCUCCAGACUCCGUGGUCGAGGAGGACGCUGCCGAGUCAGAUUGACACGUUCUCAAGGAAGUCUUCUACUUUAAUUUUUCUUAUUUUAAAUAUUGAGUACAAUGUUUAGUUUAAUUUUAGGGGUGUGUUCUUGUUUUUUUUAUUUGGUACUUAAAGCAAAUUUGUUUUUGAUUUAUUUUAUUAAAUUUGAAUUUUAGGUAUGAUGUUUUCAGGAUAACUUAAGCAAUGUUUUGGUUGGAUUUGAUCAUGGAAUGAUAAGGAAGUGAUUAAUUAAUUUAUAACUCAUGGGAAUUGAUGAACAUGUUUAGC